AAAACAUCUCUUUAUGAAUAAAAUAAUAAGUGGCCUCUCCUCUAUUAUUUUCUUAUGGCUUGCAUCAAUUUAUUCUGAUCAAGGUCGCAUAAUAAACUCUUUUUUAAAUUGAACUUUUCUGGAAAGAACGCUUGAUCCCUAAGGACAUUUAAAUUUAUUAAUUGAAUUUGAUUUUUAUAUACCAAAGCUUCAAUAGUUUUACGGGACGAGAAGACCCUAUAGAAUUUUCUAUCAAAAUAUUAUUUUAAUAAUAUUUAGAGUAUUUAUUUGGGAGGAAUGUUAAAAUUAAAAACUUUAAUUAGUAAUUUACUAGAAUAUUAGGAUAUAAAUUGAAUUUAUUAAUAAAUAUAAGAUUAAAUUACCUUAGGGAUAACAGCGUAAUAUUUUUUAAAAGUUCAUAUUUAAAAAAGUGUUU
This 415-nucleotide ribosomal RNA is filed under the name Calyozina sp. RNAcentral describes it as "partial large subunit ribosomal RNA". Lineage: Eukaryota; Metazoa; Arthropoda; Insecta; Hymenoptera; Bethylidae. The record is from RNAcentral.